AGAGUUUGAUCCUGGCUCAGGAUGAACGCUAGCGGCAGGCCUAAUACAUGCAAGUCGAACGGCAAGUUGAGUAGCAAUACUUGACCUAGAGUGACGUACGGGUGCGUAACACGUAUGCAACCUACCCAAAACAGGAGUAUAGCUCGGGGAAACUCGAAUUAACCCUCCAUAAGAUAGUAGCAGAGCAUUCUGCAGCUAUUAAAACUCAGGUGGUUUUGGAUGGGCAUGCGUUUGAUUAGCUAGUUGGUAGUGUAACGGACUACCAAGGCGAUGAUCAAUAGGGGAACUGAGAGGUUGAUCCCCCACACUGGCACUGAGAUACGGGCCAGACUCCUACGGGAGGCAGCAGUAGGGAAUAUUGGUCAAUGGAUGCAAGUCUGAACCAGCUAUGCCGCGUGCAGGAAGAAGGCCUUCUGGGUUGUAAACUGCUUUUGUCAGGGGAUAAAAAAUUCCUUGCGAGGAAUAUUGAAGGUACCUGGCGAAUAAGCCACGGCUAACUACGUGCCAGCAGCCGCGGUAAUACGUAGGUGGCGAGCGUUGUCCGGAUUUAUUGGGUUUAAAGGGUGCGUAGGCGGUCCUAUAAGUCAGUGGUGAAAUAUCUCAGCUCAACUGAGAGGGUGCCAUUGAUACUGUAGGACUCGAGUGAAUUUGAGGUAGGCGGAAUUGACGGUGUAGCGGUGAAAUGCUUAGAUAUCGUCAAGAACACCGAUAGUGAAGACAGCUUACCAAGCUUCAACUGACGCUGAGGCACGAAAGUGUGGGGAUCAAACAGGAUUAGAUACCCUGGUAGUCCACACUGUAAACGUUGAUUACUCGCUGUUGGCGAUACACAGCCAGCGGCUAAGCGCAAGCGAUAAGUAAUCCACCUGGGGAGUACGCCGGCAACGGUGAAACUCAAAGGAAUUGACGGGGGUCCGCACAAGCGGUGGAGCAUGUGGUUAAUUCGAUGAUACGCGAGGAACCUUACCUGGACUAGAAUGCCCUUGACCGAUCCAGAGAUGGAUUUUUCCGCAAGGACAAGGAGCAAGGUGCUGCAUGGCCGUCGUCAGCUCGUGCCGUGAGGUGUUGGGUUAAGUCCCGCAACGAGCGCAACCCUUAUCUUUAGUUGCCAGCACGUAAUGGUGGGGACUCUAAAGGGACUGCCUGCGCAAGCAGAGAGGAAGGAGGGGAUGACGUCAGGUCAUCAUGGCCCUUACGUCCAGGGCUACACACGUGCUACAAUGGCGUAUACAAAGUGUUGCAAGCCAGCGAUGGUGAGCCAAUCACAAAAAAAAAGAAGAUAGAGCGACAGGCAAGUCUAGUACGGAAUCACCGGAUCUUCAUCUUUGCCCCCCUAGAUCGGAAGAGCACACGUCUGAACUCCAGUCACAUCUCGUAUGCCGUCUUCUGCU
RNAcentral lists this ribosomal RNA (1391 nucleotides) under metagenome. Its description in RNAcentral is "bacterial SSU rRNA". It matches the Rfam family "Bacterial small subunit ribosomal RNA", at positions 8 to 1320 of the family's 1533-position model. The record is from RNAcentral.